AGUACCCGGAGUCACCGGAGGGAAACUUUUAAUAUUAAUGCCUUGAGGAUAUAAACGAUACUCAAUAUCAAGCUCUCUACAAGCUUUCCCAACUUCCUCUAGUAAUUGACUUCUCCUUAUAAACCUCUCUCCCAUGUCUUGAAAAUUCAUUCUGUGUGUCAACCACACCGCAAUCUUCACGCUUUUCAAGUCAUCCAUGUUUAGGAACACAAUCAUAGGUGCCGGAUACCAAUGAUCCUUCUUGAAGUCUAUAUAACUGCAUGAAAAAAAAACAAAUGAAAGUUUGGCCUUGAGACUUUAAAGUUUUACGAAUUAGUAUAUAGACAUAGCCUCCUAAAUUGUUAAGAAAAUAUAUAUAUAAUUUUUUUUUACUAAAAUGUCUAUAGCCUCAAGAUCUUAGCGUCUCAAUGUAACUAACCUGAUUAUUCUCUGUUUAAUAGCAGCUAUCUUUUCUGGAGGAGUUGCUAUGUGAACAGAGAAUUCAACCGCAUCUCCCAUAUCAGGACUUCGGAAGUAGUUAGCUAUAGGUUUUGUCCCAAGAACACUAUUCGGGUAUAUGAUCUUUUGAUUAUCGUACCGCAAGAAAACAGUUGUCAAUAUGUUCAUUUCUUCCACAACCAACUGGUAAAAGAAACAACAAGAUUAGAACCAUGUCACACUAUUUAAAUAAGUCCAGCAGAUUAUUGUAUUAGGAGGGAACAAACCUGAACACCGUCAAUUUCGCAGCGGUCACCAACAUCAAAUGGGUGCAUAACGAAAAGGAAAAUGAUGGCUUCAAAGAUGGUUUUGCAUGAGUUUCCGAAUAUAAAGGCUACUAGAAGUAGCUGAGAGCUUAAGACUAGCAAGAACUUGGUUGUGGCGAUUCCUAGUAUAAGAAGCCAAAUGAUAAUGAUUAUAAUGCUAAUCAACACAUUGAUUAUGCGGUGAAGCCUGUUCACUGCUGUCUUUGUGUCGUUUAAGGUCAAUGCCAGAGCCCUCCGUUCUCUAAAUGCCUUAACCUGUGAAAAAAACGUCAAGAUAACUCUGUUUUGCAUAUGAAAAGAAUCUUGACAUAUAUAUCUAAUUUAGAACUUACCACCCAAUUCUUGAGGCAAGACUUGCUGAUCCUAAGGCUCUCUGAAGCUCCUUCAAAGAGAGCCAUGGCUCUUUCAGACUCCUCUUCAGACAGAAACCGCAAGAAGUCUUCCAUAUGUAUGUACCUAAAACCCGAUAAAAAGAAACUCAAGAUUUAAGCAUAAACCAUACUAAAAUUUUGGAGCUGUAGAUAAUUUAGUAAGAAUUUAAAUAAAUUUUGUUUUAUACAUUUUGAAAAAAUGUUUAUGGAUAUUAACUUUUAAAACAUUGAAGUGAUACGUCAAUGUUUCACUUGUCUAUGCACACUAAUGAUCAACUUCAAGAUAUAUAUACCUGGAACCAGGCUCAGUGACAUUGUGAAAAAUCUUCUUAGCUGCAAUCUUUGCUUCGCACUCGCUUCUUAUCUGCGUAGCAUGCUCACUCUCCUCAACUGUGUCCUGCAUAUGUUCAUCCAAGGUAGAAAGAGCGCCUUUUCGUAUUAUAUUCAUCAACUUGGUCAUGUUCCAAGCAGACACAUUGUCUGUAUUCAUCCUCUGCAACUGAUCAAUCCUUAUCCCUUCACCAUCUCCUUCUUUGUCAGAACCAACCCGAGACAGUCUCUGACCUUUCCCGGCUUUCAUAAAACUCUUAACCGUCGCUUUUAGAGCUGGAGGCAACUUAGCUCCAGCCAGUUUCUCUAAACUCUUAACAUCAUCCGUUACUUUCUGCUCUUCUUCCUCCAUUCUCUGAAUCUCCAUCAAAGGAGGUCCAGAGAGGGUUUCAAUCACGUACUGAGUGAACAAUGAUUCUUGAAUCCUAUCAAAGUAAGUGCUCAUGUGGAAAGAUGAAGCAAGAACCUUGACCAGAAGUGUCUUAAUCAACCAAAUGAUCACAGCAACAAGGAGACAAACCAACACUCUCGUCACGUACCUAAUGGCAGUAGUCCGGGUCUCUCUUUCCACUUUCUUAUCGAACAAGAAGUGCCACGCAAGCAACACGAGCCCUAACCACAAGGUGUUUUGAACAGACUUUCUAACUCCGUAGACGAAAUACAAAACCCUCUUUCUCAAAACGAAGUUCUUCUCGGCCGAGAAGACGAGGAUCCUCACUAUCCAGCUCGAGACUAGUCUCCCGCAAAUCAACACCAAAACCGUCACUUCCCAUUUCCACAGGUCCAGCUUCCACCAUGUCUUGCGCCGCAAGCUAUGUACCGUUAAGCUACAGACCAAACUGGUGACUAUCAGAACUAAACUUAUCCAUUCGAGCAAAACCCAAAUGCUGAGUUUGUCUCUUUUGAACACGUCCGGUAAGUCCUCGUCCAGAAACGGAUCUUCCUCCUCGUCUUCCUCCAGCGUCCCGGUUCGAGAUGGAGUUCCCGGUUUAGGGCUUUUUCCGAGAAAACCGGUUUUCCGACCGGAUCUCAUCUCUGUUUUGUCGAUAGCUGGAUGCGUCGGUGUUGGAGGAUCCAUAAGUCUUGACUUCGUCUGGUUCCUCCUCAGUAACGGUUUCUUCACGACCUCUGCUUCGUCUCUGUUGGCCUUGUAGUGACGGCUCUCCUCGUCGCUGCUCCCACCGAGUGAGAUUCUGUUCUGUCUCCUUCUCACCGCGUCGGCUUUUCCUUUCGCCGUGAACGGAGAAGACCUCCAUGUACUAGAACAGUAUCAAAAAUGUCUUGAACCCCAUUUCAAUCACUAUAUACUUAUUCUUGAAUCACAAAUUACUACUUCCAGAGAAUAGAAAACUGUUACCAAACCACUCAUACAUAUAUAUAUACAUACACAAAAAUCAUAUUCUGCUUGCUUACGCGCAAUGAAAAAUCCCUUACUUCCCUUGCUCAACAAGUCUUUACAGUUCAGGCACCGCGUUGAUGCAAACAAGCUGGAGGCAGACGGUCAGAAGUACCCGGAGUCACCGGAGGGAAACUUUUAAUAUUAAUGCCUUGAGGAUAUAAACGAUACUCAAUAUCAAGCUCUCUACAAGCUUUCCCAACUUCCUCUAGUAAUUGACUUCUCCUUAUAAACCUCUCUCCCAUGUCUUGAAAAUUCAUUCUGUGUGUCAACCACACCGCAAUCUUCACGCUUUUCAAGUCAUCCAUGUUUAGGAACACAAUCAUAGGUGCCGGAUACCAAUGAU
This 3186-nucleotide long non-coding RNA is filed under the name Brassica napus (rape). RNAcentral's name for it is "long non-coding RNA (BNAP_LNC002592)". The record is from RNAcentral. Lineage: Eukaryota; Viridiplantae; Streptophyta; Magnoliopsida; Brassicales; Brassicaceae.